UCUGUUUAGAAAGAAUGACCUGGUUUGACUUGACACGGAGUUUAAGAGUAUAAAAAAAACUUUUGAAUCUUGUGGUCCUUAAUUAAAGUUAGGUGAAAUGUACAUCACUGUCUUUUGUUAUUGUAGCCUUAAAUAUGUCACGUUGAAAGUUGAAAUUAAAAUGUUACCCAAAAAAGAAAGAGGCCAUUUUUUUUUAAACAAACUAAAAAGGAAAUGAGAUCAUUCUUUUUAAACAGAGGAAGUAAUAAGUAAGUACCUCUUGAAUCAUGAUAAAACUAAUGAAAUAUUGAUAUACAAUUUAUCUAAAAAUAUUUAAAUCAUGAAGCCUGAUAAAUGAAAAUGUGAUUUAAAUAUUAACAAUCUUCAAAAAGAUUGAGUAGUAAGAUUUGCUCACCUAGAGAUUAAGACUAAUUAGGAAUAUGACACUUUUGUAAUUUCAUCCUAUACAAUUAUAGUUGGUGAGCAUAUGCAAGAUAUCCACCGAAUUUUUGAAUAUAUUGAUUAUAUGAUCAUAAUAUCUUGAGAUGCAUAACCAACUAUUCAAAUUAAUUGAUUCACAUUCUAUUGGCAUUGUCCAUUUAGUGUAUGGAUUGCAAAGCCACAAAUAAUCGAGUAUAAAUUAAAAAAGUAAAACAUAACGUUGAAAUCCGCUAAACAAUCAUAUAAUUAAGCUAAAGAUGUCCAUAGAAUGGUCAUAAUUCUAUGAUAAGGACUUUUGGCCGUUCAUUUGUCACGAUCCAAAAAUGGGUGUGAUGGCACUCGUCUUAUCCCACCAAGACAAGUCAGCCUAAAACUCAACCAUUACAAUAAAGUGCGGAAGUAAAAUAUAAGUAACUUAAUAAAAACCCCAAAACCUGGUAGUCACGUGUACAAGCCUCUAAAGUAUUACAAUUGAUUCAAAAGAAAACUCAAGUCUCCAAUGAAGUUGUUUCUAGAAUAGAACAAGAUCAUAAUUAAGGAGAAGAAAGUCUGCUGCGAUGGAAACAGCUACCUGACAAAUCUCCAAGAAGCCUCGGAAAAGAAGAGAAUGACAAGUACAACAAAAAUCCAGGCUCAUAACCUACAAAAAUUUGUAGAAACAAGGGGUGAGUACCAAACCACACGGUACUCAGCAAGUAAACGUCUAAACACAAGCUAAGGGGAUGAAAUACGGGUAAUCCUACCACCCCAACCGAACCUCCACAAUUACAACUGCAUAAAAUUCAGUCUAACCUAACAGUUCAUAUUUACAUAGCACGUAACUCUACAACAACACUUAGACAAAUUACAUAUACAUCCUCCACAACCACACUUUACCAAAUUACAUAUCCUCAAUAACAAGCUCAGUAUUCAUCAAUCACAAAUUUUGCAGAAAGUCAAUCACAAGAUCAGCAAAACACAAUAUCAAGUUCACCAAUGAUAAGUAUGCGUAAUGCAAUGUCAAGUAUAAUGAUGCAUGUCUGACCUAGUGAUACACAUCCGCUGUCUCUCAAUCCGGGACCCAUGGGGGACAUAUCUGUCCAUGCAUCUGUCGCGGCGCGCGACACGACCCUCGAUAAUAGUAACCAUCGCGGCGCGCGAUACAUCCCUUGAAAUAUAGUAUCUAUCGCGGCGCGCGAUACGUCCCUGUCAUCAAAAUAAUGCAAUGGCAUGUUCAUACAAAAAUAAAGAGGAUAUCACUAUUUUAAUAACAUUGCACAAUUCACAACAACAUCAACAAUGAUUCAACAAGUCUUUCAAAUCAUUCUCCAUUAUCAACACAUCACACACAACCCAUUAUUCACAUUGCCUUUUAUUACCCUUUUGUUUUCCUCAUUAGAAUUAAUCAAUGUGGACAAGUCAACCCAUCACCAAGUCCCAUUACUCCCAAACAUAUAGCACAAGGAAAUACACGCAUUCCAUACACUUAACAAGAGUUUAGAAAUUCACUUACCUUAGCCAAUCGAAUAAUCACUCUAGGACUUGAGCCUUUCCUUUCUGUUGACCUUCCAAUCGAUGCAAUCUAUUCAAGUAUAUAUUCAUAAUAAGGUUUCGAAACUAACAACACCCACAUUACUAUAGGUUUAAGCCUAUACUCAAAAGAUCAAUCAAUCUAUAAUCAAGUUCUUAAGUUUCAAGCUUAAGUUAUGUCCUAAUUCUUUUCCAAUAUCAUAAAACUAAUGGUAUUUAUAUAAGAUUAUACACCUAAUAUUUAAUUACCUAUUUCAAUAUAGAAAAACAUGAAUUAUAUGGUUAUUAUAUAAAAAAAAAUAUGAAACCGAAACCACUUGCGGAAUGAUACUUAAACUUACAGAACCAUACUUAAACUUGAACUAAUAGUAGAACGUUAUUUGUGCAUUUACACUAUACUAUGCCAUCUUCCAAUGAUUGGAUUAUCAUUGGUCAUAUUUACUCCAUAAUUCAUCCACUAAAAUUGCAAACAAGUGACCCAUAAAUGAUAUUUGCCAAUUAGUUGUUAAAAAAAAUAUUGGCAGGGAUUGAAGAUCAAAAUUCCUUAAUUACCUACAUAUUAUAAUAAUAAUUUAAAAGGAAAAACAUAUAACAAAUUUGUAUCACCUGAAACUCGUCUUUUGAUUUCUACGACGGCUCCCUUUCCACAAGUUAUUUUCAUUCUCUUCUUCUUUUCUCAAAGUCAUGAC
Molecule: long non-coding RNA, 2618 nt
Filed under: Solanum lycopersicum (tomato)
Lineage: Eukaryota; Viridiplantae; Streptophyta; Magnoliopsida; Solanales; Solanaceae
Description: long non-coding RNA (SLYC_LNC001293)
Source: RNAcentral